Molecule: ribosomal RNA, 501 nt
Filed under: uncultured bacterium
Lineage: Bacteria
Description: partial 16S ribosomal RNA
Rfam family: Bacterial small subunit ribosomal RNA
Source: RNAcentral
AUUGAACGCUGGCGGCAGGCUUAACACAUGCAAGUCGAGCGGGGGAAGGUAGCUUGCUACCGGACCUAGCGGCGGACGGGUGAGUGAUGCUUAGGAAUCUGCCUAUUAGUGGGGGACAACAUCUCGAAAGGGAUGCUAAUACCGCAUACGUCCUACGGGAGAAAGCAGGGGAUCUUCGGACCUUGCGCUAAUAGAUGAGGCUCAGUCGGAUUAGCUAGUGGGUGGGGUAAAGGCCUACCAAGGCGACGAUCUGUAGCGGGUCGGAGAGGAUGGUCCCCCACCCUGGGACUGAGACACGGCCCAGACUCCUACGGGAGGCAGCAGUGGGGAAUAUUGGACAAUGGGGGGAACCCUGAUCCAGCCAUGCCGCGUGUGUGAAGAAGGCCUUAUGGUUGUAAAGCACUUUAAGCGAGGAGGAGGCUACUCUAGUUAAUACCUAGGGAUAGUGGACGUUACUCGCAGAAUAAGCACCGGCUAACUCUGUGCCAGCCGCCGCAGUAA